UGGGGGAUAGCUCAGUGGUGAAGCGCUUGCCUAACAUGCAGGACACCCUGGGUUCAGGCCCCAGCACUGCAA
This 72-nucleotide transfer RNA is filed under the name Ictidomys tridecemlineatus (thirteen-lined ground squirrel). RNAcentral describes it as "Spermophilus tridecemlineatus (thirteen-lined ground squirrel) tRNA". It matches the Rfam family "tRNA". From Rfam's summary of the family: Transfer RNA (tRNA) molecules are approximately 80 nucleotides in length. Their secondary structure includes four short double-helical elements and three loops (D, anti-codon, and T loops). Further hydrogen bonds mediate the characteristic L-shaped molecular structure. tRNAs have two regions of fundamental functional importance: the anti-codon, which is responsible for specific mRNA codon recognition, and the 3' end, to which the tRNAs corresponding amino acid is attached (by aminoacyl-tRNA synthetases). tRNAs cope with the degeneracy of the genetic code in two manners: having more than one tRNA (with a specific anti-codon) for a particular amino acid; and 'wobble' base-pairing, i.e. permitting non-standard base-pairing at the 3rd anti-codon position. Lineage: Eukaryota; Metazoa; Chordata; Mammalia; Rodentia; Sciuridae. The record is from Rfam by way of RNAcentral.